GUCCCAGACCGAUAGUGAACAAGUACCGGUCCCAGACCGAUAGCGAACAAGUAGAGUGAUCGAAAGAUGAAAAGCACUUUGAAAAGAGAGUUAAACAGCACGUGAAAUUGUUGAAAGGGAAGCGCUUGCGACCAGACUCGCCCGCGGGGUUCAGCCGGCAUUCGUGCCGGUGUACUUCCCCGUGGGCGGGCCAGCGUCGGUUUGGGCGGCCGGUCAAAGGCCCCUGGAAUGUAGUACCCUCCGGGGUACCUUAUAGCCAGGGGUGCAAUGCGACCAGCCUGGACCGAGGAACGCGCUUCGG
RNAcentral lists this ribosomal RNA (301 nucleotides) under Aspergillus niger. RNAcentral's name for it is "LSU rRNA". It matches the Rfam family "Eukaryotic large subunit ribosomal RNA", at positions 104 to 605 of the family's 3401-position model. The record is from RNAcentral. Lineage: Eukaryota; Fungi; Ascomycota; Eurotiomycetes; Eurotiales; Aspergillaceae.